Molecule: ribosomal RNA, 433 nt
Filed under: uncultured bacterium
Lineage: Bacteria
Description: partial 16S ribosomal RNA
Rfam family: Bacterial small subunit ribosomal RNA
Source: RNAcentral
AACGAACGCUGGCGGCAGGCCUAACACAUGCAAGUCGAGCGAGAUCUUCGGGUCUAGCGGCGGACGGGUGAGUAACGCGUGGGAAUAUGCCGCUUGGUACGGAAUAGCCUCGGGAAACUGGGAGUAAUACCGGAUGUGCCCUUUGGGGGAAAGAUUUAUCGCCAAGAGAUUAGCCCGCGUUGGAUUAGGUAGUUGGGGGGGUAAUGGCCUACCAAGCCGACGAUCCAUAGCUGGUUUGAGAGGAUGAUCAGCCACACUGGGACUGAGACACGGCCCAGACUCCUACGGGAGGCAGCAGUGGGGAAUCUUAGACAAUGGGGGCAACCCUGAUCUAGCCAUGCCGCGUGAGUGAUGAAGGCCUUAGGGUUGUAAAGCUCUUUCAGCUGGGAAGAUAAUGACGGUACCAGCAGAAGAAGCCCCGGCUAACUCCGUG